This is a long non-coding RNA of Leptopilina boulardi, 840 nucleotides long. RefSeq lists it as uncharacterized. The record is from RefSeq and is a predicted model, not a curated record. Lineage: Eukaryota; Metazoa; Arthropoda; Insecta; Hymenoptera; Figitidae. The transcript is spliced from 3 exons.
GCGCGUGUGGCUGGAAUAGUGAGUGGAGAGUGAUUAUAGAGCGCGAGCCUCCUGGUUGCCUCCGGCGCGUGCGUCCGCUUCAACCACAUCGUGUUCCUUCCAGUUUCACGUUCCAAGAACUCGAUCAGAGUAUAGAGCCUCCAGAGGAUGCUUUGGCUUCGGUGCAAAAAAGAGAAACUCGGCCAAUAGUUCGCUCCUUUGGAAUUCAACAAUUACAUGCUCCGAGUCUCCUUGUUGACACGAUUUUAUUCACCAAGACAACUUUUUUUUUUCCAUUUGUCGCGUCUGUAUUUUAUAGUUGAAUUUUUUAGUUCCAUCUUUUAAUUUUUUUUACACCGCGUCAAUGUUUUUAAAGAUCCCAUUAGUAACAACAUAAUAUAAGCGCAAUGAGGUAAUCGUAUGAAUAUGGCGUGAACCGCCGACAUGAUUUAGAAAUGCAGUUUGGAUGUCGAAAUAUCUGACACAUGUUUCAUGCUGCGACUGUGUCGGAAAGAUGCAAGUCGUGCACUCCGUGAUUCGACUAGCCAGGAACAUAUCACUGUCUGGUUAUUGAAUGCCUCUUCCAUCCAUGUCUUUUUAGUUCACGCUUAUAUAUAUACUCUGCGCGCCUUUUGUUAUUAACUCCAUACAGGAUAACGAUGCCUCAUCAAUCGCGCAAAAACUUAUUCUUGUUAUCUUAACUGAUGUGACUUUUAAAAGGAAAAACGAAGAAAUUUUUCUAAAUACCUGAGCAUAUUCGGCGCAAAUAUCAAUGGAUGAUACAUAAUUGACGACAUCUUCAAUGGUCCAACGAUUUACAGCUUGACCAUCGCCACAGGGCAUGUGACCACAUAAUGAAGG